GACGUAGGGCGCGAGCGUUGUCCGGAUUUAUUGGGCGUAAAGAGCUCGUAGGCGGCUUGUUGCGUCGACUGUGAAAAACCCGCGGCUCAACCGUGUGGUCUGCAGUCGAUACGGGCAGGCUGGAGUUCGGUAGGGGGAGCGUGGAAUUCCUGGUGUAGCGGUGAAAUGCGCAGAUAUCAGGAGGAACACCAGCGGCGAAGGCGGCGCUCUGGGCCGGAACUGACGCUGAGGAGCGAAAAGCGUGGGUAGCAAACAGG
RNAcentral lists this ribosomal RNA (257 nucleotides) under uncultured bacterium. RNAcentral's name for it is "partial 16S ribosomal RNA". It matches the Rfam family "Bacterial small subunit ribosomal RNA", at positions 524 to 776 of the family's 1533-position model. The record is from RNAcentral.